This 253-nucleotide ribosomal RNA is filed under the name uncultured bacterium. RNAcentral's name for it is "partial 16S ribosomal RNA". It matches the Rfam family "Bacterial small subunit ribosomal RNA", at positions 524 to 776 of the family's 1533-position model. The record is from RNAcentral.
UACGGAGGGGGCUAGCGUUGUUCGGAAUUACUGGGCGUAAAGCGCACGUAGGCGGCUUUGUAAGUUAGAGGUGAAAGCCCGGGGCUCAACCCCGGGAGGCGGGUGGAUACUGUCAAGCUCGAGUCCGGAAGAGGAGUGUGGAAUUCCUGGUGUAGCGGUGAAAUGCGCAGAUAUCAGGAGGAACACCAAUGGCGAAGGCAGCACUCUGGGACGUGACUGACGCUGAGACGCGAAAGCGUGGGGAGCAAACAGG